CCUACGGGUGGCAGCAGUGAGGAAUAUUGGUCAAUGGGCGCGAGCCUGAACCAGCGAAGUAGCGUGAAGGAUGACUGCCCUACGGGUUGUAAACUUCUUUUAUAAAGGAAUAAAGUGAGGCACGUGUGCCAUUUGGUAUGGACAUUAAGAAUAAGGAAAGGCUAACUCCGUGCCAGCAGCCGCGGUAAUACGGAGGAACCGAGCGUUAUACGGAUUUAGUGGGUUUAAAGGGAGCGUAGAUGGUUUGUUAAGUCAGUUGUGAAAGUUUGCGGCUCAACCGUAAAAUUGCAAUUGAGACUGGCAGUCUUGAGUACAGUUGAGGUAGGCGGAAUUCGUGGUGUAGCGGUGAAAUGCUUAGAUAUCACGAAUAACUCCGAUUGCGAAGGCAGCUUACUAAACUGCCACUGACAUUGAUGCUCGAAAGUGUGGGUAUCAAACAGGAUUAGAUACCCUAGUAGUC
Molecule: ribosomal RNA, 460 nt
Filed under: uncultured bacterium
Lineage: Bacteria
Description: partial 16S ribosomal RNA
Rfam family: Bacterial small subunit ribosomal RNA
Source: RNAcentral